RNAcentral lists this ribosomal RNA (322 nucleotides) under uncultured bacterium. RNAcentral describes it as "bacterial SSU rRNA". It matches the Rfam family "Bacterial small subunit ribosomal RNA", at positions 9 to 334 of the family's 1533-position model. The record is from RNAcentral.
GAGGUUUGAUCCUGGCUCAGAAUGAACGCUGGCGGCAGGCCUAACACAUGCAAGUCGAACGGAGUUAUAUUGUUAGCUUGCUAUGGUAGUAACUUAGUGGCAGACGGGGUGAGUAAUGUAUAGGAAUCGUACCUAGUAGUACGGAAUAAUUGUUGGAAACGGCAACUAAUACCAUAUACGCCCUACGGGGGAAAAAUUUAGUUGCUAUUAGAUGAGCCUAUAUUAGAUUAGCUAGUUGGUGGAGUAAUAGGCCUACCAAGGCAAUGAUCUAUAGCUGAUCUGAGAGGAUGACCAGCCACACUGGAACUGAGACACGGUCCAG